UACGGGGGGGUAAGCGUUGUUCGGAAUUACUGGGCGUAAAGGGCUCGUAGGCGGCCAACUAAGUCAGACGUGAAAUCCCUCAGCUUAACUGGGGAACUGCGUCUGAUACUGGAUGGCUUGGAUUUGGGAGAGGAAUGCGGAAUUCCAGGUGUAGCGGUGAAAUGCGUAGAUAUCUGGAGGAACACCGGUGGCGAAGGCGGCAUUCUGGACCAAUAUUGACGCUGAGGAGCGAAAGCCAGGGGAGCAAACGGG
RNAcentral lists this ribosomal RNA (252 nucleotides) under uncultured bacterium. Its description in RNAcentral is "partial 16S ribosomal RNA". It matches the Rfam family "Bacterial small subunit ribosomal RNA", at positions 524 to 776 of the family's 1533-position model. The record is from RNAcentral.